AUGCUCAUUUUAUGCACUUUGCCCUGAAAAGCUUUCUUCCACAAAAGCAGGCUAAAAACCACUAAAAGUUUGAAAAAGAGCAGGAGUUGUAAGGAAAACAGUUCCAACAAGCUCCAUCUGAUGUGCUUUUAUUUUCCACCUUUCUCCAGGGAUGUAGGAGCAGACAAGGAAGUGUGAGGCAGCAUACAGAUCCCACAAUGGACAACAAGGGAUUAAGGAACUGCUCUGAGCUAAGGGAGCUCCACCUUGCCACACCUGCAAGGCAUGCACAGACUGAAGGAGGAGCUUAAAAGAGGAGCAGAGCCAUGCACUUAUUGGAAGAUUAGGGAAGAGAACAGGCCUCCACCUCCUAAGGAAAGGGCUUUCUGAAGGGACUACUCUGGAAGGGGAGAGACUUUAAAGUGACUUGGCUGGAGAGUAAAGUCAUAGGAAGAGGCAGACCACUACAGAGGUGGAGCAACCAUUGGAUGGAGGUAUCUGAUGGGAAAAGAGAUGCUAUGCCAUAUCUAGCCACAAGGAUGUGCUAGUGGAAUCUUCUUGUUUGGGGAACGAAGAACACCACAUGAUGUCACUCCCUGCCUUAUAAAGCUUUUGCAUAUGGUGAGAACCCUUUGUUUCAAAGCUUGGUUCCCAGACUGGUCUGUGGAAAAACAUGGACAUCCCAGGAUGGAGUCUAGAGACAUGUAGUCUCAUCACGUAUCCUUGAGAGUCCUAGCAGCCAUUACUCAGAGGCUGUUGGUAGGAAGGCUAUUCUCAGGAAGGCUCCCCAGGUGGAAGAUAAGCUUCUUCUAAGAAUCUAAGGGCUAUUUUUUUCCUAAUGUCCCAUUCCACACCCACUGUCUAGAAUUAAACAUCUUGUCUAUUUGGCACUACCCAUGUGUAACUACAAGUUUUCUGUGGACAGCUCCACUUCAUUUUUGGGAGAGCUACAGCACAGGGUUUGCUCUCCCUUAAGGGCAAUCCCAGGUUCAGCGCGUGCCUGUUCCAUGGCCUGGUCUUCCUGGGACUUGUAGCUCCCAUGGAGCAGAGGAACUAUAGGGACUAAAAAAAGGAAUGCUGGGAAAGGGACGCAAGAUAUAGAAGAAAGGCAGAGACCAAGAAUGAUUCAAGAUUUGGUUUUGGUCUUUCCACUGACGGACUCCUGGAAGAAUCUGUGGUUGUGGUUGUUAGGACUCCAGAGACAGUUCAAGGGCUGUGAAAACAACCUCAAGGAAGGGGUGGUCUUUGAUUUUGAAAGCAAAGACCAUGAAAGGCCAAGAGGGUGCCAGAGAACCACUCAUGGGCCUUACCAGUGAGGAGCCAAGAGACUGGUAAUAGGGCUCCCUGCAGUGAGGAGGUUGGGUAAAAGAGCUUGAAGGAGCUUUGGAAAAAUAGCCUCAAAUAUUCCAGAGAAGAGGCUGGGAAGCAUGCUGUUGACAUACCAGAGGGAAGAGGUGUGGUUUUUGUGGAGAGGAUUUCUUGGAAGCCUGGGUUCAGAGAGGGAGCCCUUCUAUCAAGGGGUGAAAGUUCAUUGGACUCUUGCUCACCCUGGAACUGGAAGACUUUUAAUGGUUUGCCCAGAAGACUAAAUCAAAUUAACUACCUUACAUAAAGGGGGAAGCUUGUAGUGGAAGAAGGAAAUGAGGCAACUUGAUGUCUGAGAGGUCAAUCACUGUUGUAAACUUGCAAAACAUUUAUUGUCCAUGCCUCUCUUCCUCUCCAGCCCCCACCCCCAAUAAAUGUAACCAGUAAAGUAAUAGUUUAAUAAAGAUUGAUGAUUAAAAGGUAAAUCUUAUAAUAUAAAAUA
Mauremys reevesii (Reeves's turtle) is the source of this 1786-nucleotide long non-coding RNA. RefSeq lists it as uncharacterized. The transcript has 4 exons. NCBI's taxonomy places the organism in Eukaryota, Metazoa, Chordata, Testudines, Geoemydidae. The record is from RefSeq and is a predicted model, not a curated record.